CCUACGGGUGGCAGCAGUGAGGAAUAUUGGUCAAUGGGCGCGAGCCUGAACCAGCCAAGUAGCGUGAAGGAUGAAUGCCCUACGGGUUGUAAACUUCUUUAUAAAGGAAUAAAGUGAGGCACGUGUGCCUUUUUGUAUGUACUUUAUGAAUAAGGAUCGGCUAACUCCGUGCCAGCAGCCGCGGUAAUACGGAGGAUCCGAGCGUUAUCCGGAUUUAUUGGGUUUAAAGGGAGCGUAGAUGGGUUGGUAAGUCAGAUGUGAAAGUUUGCGGCUCAACCAUAAAAUUGCAAUUGAAACUGGGAGGCUUGAGUACAGGUGAGGUAGGCGGAAUUCGUGGUGUAGCGGUGAAAUGCUUAGAUAUCACGAAGAACUCCGAUUGCGAAGGCAGCUUACUAAACUGCCACUGACAUUGAUGCUCGAAAGUGUGGGUAUCAAACAGGAUUAGAUACCCCUGUAGUC
This 459-nucleotide ribosomal RNA is filed under the name uncultured bacterium. RNAcentral describes it as "partial 16S ribosomal RNA". It matches the Rfam family "Bacterial small subunit ribosomal RNA", at positions 338 to 795 of the family's 1533-position model. The record is from RNAcentral.